CAUGUCUAUCUGAGAGUAAGCUGCCUCUCCAGCCCUCGUCCCAAGGCCAAACAGCUCAGUCCUUCCCUGUGUGUCUCUGGUGCCUUUCAAGCUGCCUCCCAUCCGCGCUUAGAGGGAACAAGUCCAAGGAGACAGGGCUUCCUGAUCUCAUGGGCUGUCGAAGUGCCUGGAGCCCACCCCAUCCCGUGUCACCCAGGAGCCUGGAGCAGCUGCCACGUCACCUGCAGGUCUCGGGGCUUCCACGAGCAGCUGAACCCCGUGGGUCUGCGCAUCUCCACAGCUCUGAGUGCAGGGGCUCCGCUGGGCUUCGCUGUGUCUUCUCGGGAAGAUUUCAGUCCAAAGUGAAGACUAAUGUUGCUUUAAGAGGACCAGGACUUGCGAGCUCGUCCUCAGUGGUGGCACCCCUAUGCAGAAGGCGCUGACCCGAACCCUUCAGCAUCCAGAAGAGGUACAGCUCUUACGACCUUCCUUCUUUUCCUUGGAGCUCAAGAAACAAGAGGCAUCAGAGAAGACAGUGAGAUUCUAAUACGUAAUUAAUUCACAUUUGUAAAGUAUAUUAUUCAAUA
Long non-coding RNA from Molossus molossus (Pallas's mastiff bat), 566 nucleotides. RefSeq lists it as uncharacterized. The record is from RefSeq and is a predicted model, not a curated record. The transcript has 3 exons. Lineage: Eukaryota; Metazoa; Chordata; Mammalia; Chiroptera; Molossidae.